GAAUAUUGGACAAUAGGGGGAACCCUGAUCCAGCCAUGCCGCGUGUGUGAAGAAGGCCUUUUGGUUGUAAAGCACUUUAAGCGAGGAGGAGGAUACUUAGAUUAAUACUCUAGGAUAGUGGACGUUACUCGCAGAAGAAGCACCGGCAAACUCUGUGACAGCCGCCGCGGUAAUACAGGGGGUGCAAGCGUUAAGCGGAUUUACUGGGCGUAAAGCGCGCGUAGGUGGCCAAUUAAGUCAGAUGUGAAAUCCCCGAGCUUAACUUGGGAAUUGCAUUCGAUACUGGUUGGCUAGAGUAUGGGAGAGGAUGGUAGAAUUCCAGGUGUAGCGGUGAAAUGCGUAGAGAUCUGGAGGAAUACCGAUGGCGAAGGCAGCCAUCUGGCCUAAUACUGACACUGAGGUGCGAAAGCAUGGGGAGCAAACA
This 424-nucleotide ribosomal RNA is filed under the name uncultured bacterium. RNAcentral describes it as "partial 16S ribosomal RNA". It matches the Rfam family "Bacterial small subunit ribosomal RNA", at positions 359 to 774 of the family's 1533-position model. The record is from RNAcentral.